CCUACGGGAGGCAGCAGUGAGGAAUAUUGGUCAAUGGGCGAGAGCCUGAACCAGCCAAGUCGCGUGAAGGAUGACUGUCUUAUGGAUUGUAAACUUCUUUUAUACGGGAAUAACAAGAGCCACGUGUGACUCCCUGCAUGUACCGUAUGAAUAAGCAUCGGCUAACUCCGUGCCAGCAGCCGCGGUAAUACGGAGGAUGCGAGCGUUAUCCGGAUUUAUUGGGUUUAAAGGGUGCGUAGGCGGCCUGUUAAGUCUGCGGUGAAAUCUAGGAGCUUAACUCCUAAAUUGCCAUUGAUACUGGCGGGCUUGAGUGUAGAUGAGGUAGGCGGAAUGCGUGGUGUAGCGGUGGAAUGCAUAGAUAUCACGCAGAACUCCGAUUGCGAAGGCAGCUUACUAAGGUACAACUGACGCUGAAGCACGAAAGCGUGGGUAUCAAACAGGAUUAGAUACCCUAGUAGUC
RNAcentral lists this ribosomal RNA (460 nucleotides) under uncultured Porphyromonas sp. RNAcentral's name for it is "bacterial SSU rRNA". It matches the Rfam family "Bacterial small subunit ribosomal RNA", at positions 338 to 795 of the family's 1533-position model. The record is from RNAcentral. Lineage: Bacteria; Pseudomonadati; Bacteroidota; Bacteroidia; Bacteroidales; Porphyromonadaceae.